RNAcentral lists this long non-coding RNA (296 nucleotides) under Sorghum bicolor (sorghum). RNAcentral describes it as "long non-coding RNA (SBIC_LNC009114)". Lineage: Eukaryota; Viridiplantae; Streptophyta; Magnoliopsida; Poales; Poaceae. The record is from RNAcentral.
UGGAGUUCAACACAAUUGAUUUUUUUUAUUUUAUGAAUUUUCUACACUUUACUAUGGUUUUUCAAAGAUUCAACCAAAAUAAACAUAACAGAAAAUGAAAAACCACCAAAGGAAACAGUUAGGUCAAGUGACCAAUUUUGAGAGAUGAGGAAGGAACUAUAUCUGAUUUUAGAGUUGAGGAAGGUGAAGCUAAUUUUCACGAUAAUUGAGGGAGGCAAAAUAGACUUAUUCUUUGCUGAGAAAUCUAACUCUCCGUCCUAGUGCCCAAUAACGGUGGUGGUCCAGAUGAAGCGGGG